GUGCAUCAUUGCAUUUUUUCUUUUCAAAAUAUUGCAGUUUUCCAUCUGUCAUUUGUAUUUCAUCAAACAAAAGCGAAAUUCUUGAAUUUUCUCAAAUCACCCUCCUAUGAAAUGAAUCAAAGUCUCCAGACUAUGUAUGCAGUAUGGCAGCACUCUGAGACUUGAUCUCCAUACGUGAACGAACGAAGACUCGCUUUACAAGGAGCAGUGUGUCAUCUUGCUUACCAAAGGUGGAAGAUGGAAACUUUCCUUUCCAUAUGGUGCUACAGAAUGACGUCAGUCAUGGAGAAGGACUUGAAAUCCCU
RNAcentral lists this long non-coding RNA (305 nucleotides) under Mustela putorius furo (domestic ferret). Its description in RNAcentral is "lncRNA (ENSMPUG00000028498.1)". The record is from RNAcentral. Lineage: Eukaryota; Metazoa; Chordata; Mammalia; Carnivora; Mustelidae.